This 366-nucleotide long non-coding RNA is filed under the name Manihot esculenta (cassava). Its description in RNAcentral is "long non-coding RNA (MESC_LNC000890)". The record is from RNAcentral. Lineage: Eukaryota; Viridiplantae; Streptophyta; Magnoliopsida; Malpighiales; Euphorbiaceae.
GACAUCAGCACCCAACUUUAUUAUUUAUUUAGAUCCAAUUCACGAUACUUGUCCCAUCAUUCACAACUCUCAGAAUUUAUGACACGUUCAAAUAACUAUUCAACUUCCAUGAUCUGAUUCUUCCCACCACAGAAUCAUAUUUCUAAGAAUUCACCAUAUUCUAUCAUGUCAUCCAUUGCACAAAAUCACAAGCUCAACAAAACAGGUUUUCAAUGCCCAAGAAGGGGCAGAACCAGCUACAAAAAUUCACUUUCUAGCUACAGAUAAACAUGACUGACAGCGAUUUAUUUUCCAGAAAUUCAUCAAUGUUUUCCAAUUACCUGCUUACAGGCUGUGGUGUGUCAAUCAGAAAAGGCGAAUCUCCAG